AUGCAUUCCCCUAUACAUCCUCACCAAUACCACAUAGCAAAUCUAGCUAAUUACCCACCCUCUCCCUGCGAGCCCUCCACCACAACUACAGCUAACUCGGUCGAGAUGGCUCGCACUGCAGCAACAAAGCUCGUGCUGGUCGCCCUGGUGGCGGCAAUGCUCCUGGUAGCCUCCGACGCGGCGAUCUCCUGCGGUCAGGUGAACUCUGCCCUGGCCUCCUGCGUCUCCUACGCAAAAGGCAGCGGGGCCAGCCCGCCUGGGGCCUGCUGUUCCGGAGUUAGGAGAUUGGCCGGCUUAGCGCGGAGCACCGCCGACAAGCAAGCGGCAUGCAGGUGCAUCAAGAGUGCUGCCGGUGGGCUCAACCCCGGAAAGGCUGCAAGUAUCCCCUCCAAGUGCGGCGUCAGCAUCCCCUACUCCAUCAGCGCAUCCGUGGACUGCUCUAAGAUCCACUGA
Molecule: ribosomal RNA, 453 nt
Filed under: Triticum aestivum (bread wheat)
Lineage: Eukaryota; Viridiplantae; Streptophyta; Magnoliopsida; Poales; Poaceae
Description: partial small subunit ribosomal RNA
Source: RNAcentral